GAUGAACGCUGACAGAAUGCUUAACACAUGCAAGUCCACUUGAACUUCGGUUUGGGUGGCGGACGGGUGAGUAACGCGUAAAGAACUUGCCUCACAGAUAGGGGCAACAUUUGGAAACGAAUGCUAAUACCUGAUAUUAUGAUUAUAUGGCAUCGUAUAAUUAUGAAAGCUAUAUGCGCUGUGAGAGAGCUUUGCGUCCCAUUAGCUAGUUGGAGAGGUAACGGCUCACCAAGGCGAUGAUGGGUAGCCGGCCUGAGAGGGUGAUCGGCCACAAGGGGACUGAGACACGGCCCUUACUCCUACGGGAGGCAGCAGUGGGGAAUAUUGGACAAUGGACCAAGAGUCUGAUCCAGCAAUUCUGUGUGCACGAUGAAGUUUUUCGGAAUGUAAAGUGCUUUCAGUUGGGAAGAAAAAAAUGACGGUACCAACAGAAGAAGUGACGGCUAAAUACGUG
This 454-nucleotide ribosomal RNA is filed under the name uncultured bacterium. Its description in RNAcentral is "partial 16S ribosomal RNA". It matches the Rfam family "Bacterial small subunit ribosomal RNA", at positions 28 to 507 of the family's 1533-position model. The record is from RNAcentral.